GCUCUGGUGCUUGCACUGGGGUGGAUGAGUGGCGAACGGGUGAGUAAUACGUGAGUGACCUACCUUUGACUCUGGGAUAAGCCUGGGAAACUGGGUCUAAUACCGGAUAUGACUGGUGCCUGCAUGGGUGCUGGUGGAAAGCGUUAUGGAGUGGUUUUAGAUGGGCUCACGGCCUAUCAGCUUGUUGGUGAGGUAAUGGCUUACCAAGGCGACGACGGGUAGCCGGCCUGAGAGGGUGACCGGCCACACUGGGACUGAGACACGGCCCAGACUCCUACGGGAGGCAGCAGUGGGGAAUAUUGCACAAUGGGCGCAAGCCUGAUGCAGCGACGCCGCGUGAGGGAUGACGGCCUUCGGGUUGUAAACCUCUGUUAGCAUCGAAGAAGCGAAAGUGACGGUAGGUGCAGAGAAAGCGCCGGCUAACUACGUGCCAGCAGCCGCGGUAAUACGUAGGGCGCGAGCGUUGUCCGGAAUUAUUGGGCGUAAAGAGCUUGUAGGCGGUUUGUCGCGUCUGCUGUGAAAGGCCGGGGCUUAACUCCGUGUAUUGCAGUGGGUACGGGCAGACUAGAGUGCAGUAGGGGAGACUGGAACUCCUGGUGUAGCGGUGAAAUGCGCAGAUAUCAGGAAGAACACCGAUGGCGAAGGCAGGUCUCUGGGCUGUAACUGACGCUGAGAAGCGAAAGCAUGGGGAGCGAACAGGAUUAGAUACCCUGGUAGUCCAUGCCGUAAACGUUGGGCACUAGGUGUGGGGGACAUUCCACGUUUUCCGCGCCGUAGCU
RNAcentral lists this ribosomal RNA (779 nucleotides) under uncultured bacterium. Its description in RNAcentral is "SSU rRNA". It matches the Rfam family "Bacterial small subunit ribosomal RNA", at positions 70 to 853 of the family's 1533-position model. The record is from RNAcentral.